UGUAAAUAUAAAAGUAAAUGUAACAUUAAGGAGGUGUAAAGGGGAAAGUGACAUGUAGUAGGUGUAAAUGGGAGUGUAAAUGUAAUGUAAAUAUAAAGGUAAAUGUAACAUUAAGGAGGUGUAAAGGGGAAAGUGACAUAUAGUAGGUGUAAAUGGGAGUGUAAAUGUAAUGUAAAUAUAAAGGUAAAUGUAACAUUAAAGAGGUGUAAAGAGGAAAGUGACAUAUAGUAGGUGUAAAUGGGAGUGUAAAGGGGAAAGUGACAUGUAGUAGAUGUAAAUGGGAGUGUAAAGGGGAAAGUGACAUAUAGUCGGUGUAAAUGGGAGUGUAAAUGUAGUGUAAAUAUAAAAGUAAAUGUAACAUUAAGGAGGUGUAAAGGGGAAAGUGACAUGUAGUAGGUGUAAAU
This is a long non-coding RNA of Ictalurus punctatus (channel catfish), 404 nucleotides long. The record is from Ensembl. NCBI's taxonomy places the organism in Eukaryota, Metazoa, Chordata, Actinopteri, Siluriformes, Ictaluridae.